AAUGCUUUCCUAAGCUCCAAGCGAACAACAAAUUAAAUGUAAAAAACGAAAAAAGAAAUUACUGCUAGCAGUAGAGCUAUAAGGAAUCGAACCUUCUAUUCUAUUGCGCUCUCAAUUCAACAGGUGGAAGGUCAAUAAUCCUACAAAAUUUUGUUGAAGUACAUGCAUUCAAUUAUGGUUUUAUUGGGAGAUGAGGAGAGAACGGUUUUGGAAGAUGAUGGGUUUUGGAGGUUGGGAGAUAAGAGGGAAUAGUUUUGGUGCAAUUAUAUGCAUUCAAUUGUGAUUUUAUUGGGAGAUAAGGAGGGAACGGUUUUGAAGAUGAGGGGUUUUGGAGGUUGGGAGAUGAAAGAGAGCAGUUUUGAAAGAAGGAGGUAACUCCAUGUCUGCAAGAUAUUGGGGAUUCAUAGAUUAGUAUAGAUGAAUAAUAUUACUAAUUUAUACAUAAAAUUAGCAACAUUAAUUAUAAAAAUAAAAAUAUCAAUCACAAUUUGAAGCAAAAUUCAAAAAUUUCAAAUACAUGAGAAAUAAGAGCACCAAUUUAUUUGUAUUUUGGACUUUUUUUUGUAAAUAUAUUAUUU
RNAcentral lists this long non-coding RNA (578 nucleotides) under Ananas comosus (pineapple). RNAcentral describes it as "long non-coding RNA (ACOM_LNC009790)". The record is from RNAcentral. Lineage: Eukaryota; Viridiplantae; Streptophyta; Magnoliopsida; Poales; Bromeliaceae.